This 205-nucleotide transfer-messenger RNA is filed under the name Acidobacteriota bacterium. Its description in RNAcentral is "Acidobacteria bacterium partial transfer-messenger RNA". It matches the Rfam family "transfer-messenger RNA", at positions 1 to 226 of the family's 374-position model. Rfam says of the family: Bacterial tmRNA, also known as 10Sa RNA or SsrA, is named for its dual tRNA and mRNA-like properties. The record is from RNAcentral. Lineage: Bacteria; Pseudomonadati; Acidobacteriota.
GGGGGCGACACGGUUUCGACGGAAGCUGUCGCGUCCCGAAGGCAUGCCGGGGUCCAACCGCCCGUAACUGGAUGGAAACUAGAACUGCCAAUAACAACUUGGCACUUGCUGCUUAAUUAAUUAAGCGCACGCUUCCCCGGGCUUCGCUCAUGGGCCCGGAUCGAGGCGUCACACAGUGAGCUGGCCCAAACCUUUCGGUCCGUAA